This 477-nucleotide ribosomal RNA is filed under the name uncultured bacterium. RNAcentral's name for it is "SSU rRNA". It matches the Rfam family "Bacterial small subunit ribosomal RNA", at positions 26 to 521 of the family's 1533-position model. The record is from RNAcentral.
AGGAUGAACGCUGGCGGCGUGCCUAACACAUGCAAGUCGAACGUCCUGUCUCGCAAGAGGCAGGGAGUGGCGGACGGGUGAGUACCACGUGGGUCAUCUACCGUGAGGUGAGGAAUACCGGCGAGAAAUCGCCGACAAGACCGCAUAGGCUCGAUGCAAGUCGAGCAAAGCUCUUUCGAGAGAGGGAGCGCCACACGAGGAGCCUGCGCCCGAUUAGCUAGCUGGUGGAGUAACGGUUCACCAGGGCGACGAUCGGUAGCUGGUCUGAGAGGACGAUCAGCCACACUGGGAUUGAGAACGGCCCAGACUCCUACGGGGGGCAGCAGUGAGGAAUUUUCGUCAAUGGGGGCAACCCUGAACGAGCAACGCCGCGUGCAGGAAGAAGGUUUUCGGAUCGUAAACUGCUUUUCUCGGGGAAGAGAACGGACGGUACCCGAGGAACUCGGCCCCGGCUAACUACGUGCCAGCAGCCGCGGU